AAUAUGCUGAACGGAACCUGGCAACGCGCGAGGAUGAUAUCGCGCCCGUUGCUUUGUUCAAGAUUAGCGAUGUAUUAGCAGGUAAUCGUGUAUUCCGCAUUUCCCCACUCAUUUCGGUAGCUGGUAUUUGAUGUAUUAAAUCAGUAGCAGGCCGCAAUAACUCUGGCCGGAGGGAGACGCGUUAACCCGCGCCAACGGUCACCUGUACCAAGACGCGCAUCCCUCUCCUUCAUAGCCACCCACCCUCUCCCUCACCACCUCUCACAACUGGAAGCAGCUCAGCACAACACCCCUGCGCUCCUUGCGCAUCCCGUACUGCCCACCUCCCACCAUCACCCGCCCCCGAGCCCUCGAGCUCCACCGCGCGGUGAUGCCGCAGCGGCAGUGCGGCGCUGCAGGCUAGGUCGGGAAUCGGAGGAGGGAUUGUUGGCCGAGCUAGCUCUGGUGGCGGAGGCCGGCGGCGGGGAGCAGCGGCCGUCAAGGUGGUGUUCGGCUGGGAGCAGCGGCCGUCCACGGUGAGUCGCCGCGUCCAGAUACUCACCGGCACGCACGCCCUCGAGCUGCAGCGUGCCUCCUGGCCGGCGUUGAUGACCACCGCGGCGGCUGUUCGUCGGUGCGGGCUAGAUCGGGCGUCGGGUGGCGGAGGACUCCGGCGGGGCGCAGUGGCCGAGUCGAGGCGGCGCUUGGCCGCGGUGGGGGCGGCGCCGGCUCCGUCUUCAUCAGCUGAGAGGCCCCCGCCACAGCGGCAGUGCCGGCCCGUGCCGAAGCCGGCUUUCAAUCUGCUGUUCGAUUUCUUCCCACUUUGUCUCAGUAGUACUUUGUAUUUCUUUUUUGUUUCUGUGCAUGAUUUGGACAGAUUCAGUUGACAUGGCGAAGUUUCUUUUCGUUUCAAAGAUUCAACCUGGCUUGCAUGUUCGAUUUGUAUGCAUUUUCUUUGAUCUCAGUCCGAUCUGGUAAAGGGAUCCUAUUAUUUUCUUCCAAUCCAAAUGCUUCUGGUAAAUUGAUUCUAUUAUUUUGAUUUCAUUCCGAUCUGGUACAGACAGGUGUUGAAUGGUGUUAUUUCUUUUACCAUCAAAAUGGUUCGGCGAUGAAUUGUAUAUGUAUUUUUAUGUUGUUCAUAUACUUUCCAUAUCUCAUCGACGACUGAGCAAUCAUGUAUUUUAGUUCAUUCAUCUGAUUGACCAGUUUUGAAAAAAGAACUAAAUGCACGAUUCCAUUUUUUGGUUGUUCCCAGAUUAAUAAUUUAGAUUCCCAAUUAGUUGAAUUCUAUCUUUUUUUUUACUUUUGUUGAAUUGUUCUUUCUGAAAAUUUGAUGUUAAUUAAGAUAACCCUUUUCACUUUACGUGUGUAACUGUGUUUGCUAAUUAUUGCUUACACCAUGUUUUUCACUCUAAGUUCUGUCGAAUGCUCGAAUGCUUCCCAUCUCGAAAAAUAAUGUCAUUUCACAAUCUCUCGUUUACAUGUGUAAAGUGCUAAUUGUGCUGCUCUUGGUAGUAAGAGGGAACCAUUAGUAAAAAAUACUUGAUUUGAAUUAGUACAACAUCACAUUUUUUACAAGCUGCACCAUUAGUACAAAAUGUUCAUUUUUAUUAGUCCAAACUACUCAUUUUUUUACUUUUUGCACCAUUUAUAUAUAUAAAAGGUAUGUUUAAGAUUUUGUGUUCCAAACUAAUCAUUUUAAUGGUGUCUCGUCGAGAGCUGGUGGCCAGGGGAGAGGAUACCAGGUUGGCGCCUGCCGAUGGCAAUUAAGUGACCUCGUACAGCAUACGGCAAUCUACCAUGCACCGUGCCAAUAAAUGUCGUUAAAUGCUCGUUCAGUAUCGUACGAGGCUGCUCUGGUAUACACAUGCGUAUGCAAGAUGCUGAAAUGAAAGUCAAUCGCGUAUUCAACACACGCUAUAUUAGGUACUAAUCUCGCGGCACCAACAGACGCCGCCGAUUUCGACCUCGCGCGUUGCCAGGUUCCAAUCCGCCGGGUCGUCCACGGGAUGUGCUACUAUCAGAGAAUCAAUCAUCCCUCCCUGAUAAUGACCGUUAUAUCCAUCUACACUUGUUGCUGAUGUGGUUUACUACUUCUUUGGAUCAAAAUAUCUCGGCUGCAGUGAGGUACAUUCCAGAACUCAGGUUGAGCUUUGUUGGUUAUACUUUCGAGGGGCAAUAUUUAUUUGUUCCAAACAUCCAUGCAAUAUGUUCCGUUUGAAAAUCGGGUAUCUCUUUUGUUAACUUUUUUGACGCUUUGGAUAGGCGCGCAAUAGAACAUCAUUCAUGUGUGAAUGUUAAGAGCUACUGGGAACAAAUAAUCAACUUCACUCCACAGUGAAAAUGCUUGAAUGUUGACUGCAGUACCUCUUUGUUUGGUGCUACUUAGAAAUACAUAUCAUAAGGCCUAUGUGAAGAAUUCAGAUAGCAUGCGGUUAUUCAGAUAGAAUACACUCCAGGCUGUCAAGUUUGGGAAAAAUAAAUAGCUGAUGAAAAUUGAAAAUACCAAAUGACAUGUUUCUUUCCAAAGAGACUUUAGAUUGAGAAUUUAUUAUGUGCUUCUGGAUUUUUGGCAUGACCUGCAUAUGAAUAUUUAAUUUCAAUCUUGUUUUACAUUGCUUACAUUCCAUCUUUCUUGAAGUUGAGGACUCCAAAAAUGAUGUCUUGGCAGCAACAAACUUUCAAAGAGGUUCUCAGAGAUUUUAGUUUCUUCUUUUUCUACAUGUUUUAGGAUUACAUGCUACAUCCUUUUUCAUGUAUGGGUAUUUCAAGAUUUUGGAAAAUAUUGUGUACUGUAGAAAAAUAACCUCAAUUUUUUGACUUCGUACUGCACAUUUUGACUAUCCAGAUUAUGUAAACCUUAAUGGAUUGUUUUAUUUGUAUUGUUUCUUCCGCACAUACUUUCAGAAUGGUGAGCCAGGGGUAAGCACGUUGGUGGCCGCGGUCUUUGGCGAUGGCCAUCCUGGUGAUUGUUGUUAGUGGAGCCUCAACACAGCACCGACACUUACACUUACUGAUUAUUUCGCACAUACUUGUGCUCAUUCUUGCUCCCUGAAGUAUUUGUGGUCUAAAGCUUGAUGUCUCUUAUUUUGUCACUUACCUUGGUCCAGUUCCAGGACUAUCAACUCCAGGACUUCAUCAUCCUAUGGACAUCAAGCCGGGUACCUCUUCUGGAUUACAGCAUGCAGCAUUGGUUCCUCCGCCGACAGUACGACCGAAGCGCUGCGCUACACAUUGUUACAUUGCACAACAGAUCCAAUACAACCAGCGCCUCCAGAAGAUGAACUCAUUCUGGCCCACAACAGCGGCUGCCGGCGCUGCCGCAACGAGAUCCGCACCAUUCUUUGGUCCGAGAGGACCAUUCAACAUGGGCGUCGUGCCACCUGCUGAGGCUGCCUCCGUUCUCGUGAACCCAAUGCAGGGGAGCUACCCUGUCCGUGUCCCACUGCAAGAAACUAAGGCUCCAUCGAUCUCCGCAUCUCCUUUCCAGGCGAGCGUCUCUAAGGAUAAAGUGGCAUCCAACAGUUCCGCCGCAGCUGAAUCAAACCAAAGGAAGCAACCUCCAGCUCAUGAAGCGCAUCAGUCCUCCCCCCAUGCCAAACAUGAUGGAAGGAAAAACUCAAGGGAGCAAACAGAACAAGGAGGAUGGAGCUAGAAAGGAAAAACGAAUGGCUAGCAGAUCAUGCUCUACCUGGAACGGCGGUGAGAAAAAGGGGAGUGAUGGGAAGUGUGCUCCAACGAAGACAUACCUGGAACGGCGGCGAGAAAAAGCGGAGACACAGUUCAUGUUUUUUUUUGGUUCGGUGAUUGAUUAGACGGUUGGUACAAGGAUGAUGAUCGUGCAAUGAAGGAAAGUGUCUUCCUGGAGUGUAUCAUGAUUGAUUUGAUUCGCGGCAACAUGGCAACUUUCUUACUUAUUUUGAUGUACUUGAUAUGUGAUUGCGAUGUUACCAUAUUUUGAUGUACGUGAUCUUUAUAUACCAUAAUUUGAUGUACGUGUGAUCUUUAUAUACCAUAA
Molecule: long non-coding RNA, 3997 nt
Organism: Lolium perenne
Lineage: Eukaryota; Viridiplantae; Streptophyta; Magnoliopsida; Poales; Poaceae
Source: RefSeq, a predicted model, not a curated record